AACGAACGCUGGCGGCAUGCCUAACACAUGCAAGUCGAACGAGACCUUCGGGCCUAGUGGCGCACGGGUGCGUAACGCGUGGGAACCUGCCCUUAGGUUCGGAAUAACUCCCCGAAAGGGGUGCUAAUACCGGAUAAUGUCUUCGGACCAACGAUUUAUCGCCUUUGGAUGGGCCCGCGUUGGAUUAGCUAGUUGGUAGGGUAAAAGCCUAGCAAGGCGACGAUCCAUAGCUGGUCUGAGAGGAGGACAAGCCACACUGGGACUGAGACACGGACCAGACCCGUAGGGGAGGGUGCAGUAGGGAAUAUUGGACGAGGGGCGAAAGCCUAGUCCAGCAAUGCCGCGUGAGUGAUGAAGGCCUUAGGGUUGUAAAGCUCUUUUACCCGGGAUGAUAAUGACAGUACCGGGAGAAUAAGCACCGGCUAACUCCGUG
Molecule: ribosomal RNA, 433 nt
Filed under: uncultured bacterium
Lineage: Bacteria
Description: partial 16S ribosomal RNA
Rfam family: Bacterial small subunit ribosomal RNA
Source: RNAcentral